RNAcentral lists this ribosomal RNA (434 nucleotides) under uncultured Clostridium sp. RNAcentral's name for it is "partial 16S ribosomal RNA". It matches the Rfam family "Bacterial small subunit ribosomal RNA", at positions 341 to 792 of the family's 1533-position model. Lineage: Bacteria; Bacillati; Bacillota; Clostridia; Eubacteriales; Clostridiaceae. The record is from RNAcentral. RNAcentral also lists the same sequence under 1 other name.
ACGGGAGGCAGCAGUGGGGAAUAUUGGACAAUGGGGGAAACCCUGAUCCAGCGACGCCGCGUGAGUGAAGAAGUAUUUCGGUAUGUAAAGCUCUAUCAGCAAGGAAGAAAAUGACGGUACUUGACUAAGAAGCCCCGGCUAACUACGUGCCAGCAGCCGCGGUAAUACGUAGGGGGCAAGCGUUAUCCGGAUUUACUGGGUGUAAAGGGAGCGUAGACGGUCAUGCAAGUCUGAAGUGAAAGCCCGGGGCUCAACCGCGGGAUUGCUUUGGAAACUGUAGGACUAGAGUGCAGGAGAGGUAAGUGGAAUUCCUAGUGUAGCGGUGAAAUGCGUAGAUAUUAGGAGGAACACCAGUGGCGAAGGCGGCUUACUGGACUGUAACUGACGUUGAGGCUCGAAAGCGUGGGGAGCAAACAGGAUUAGAUACCCUGGUA